This 497-nucleotide ribosomal RNA is filed under the name uncultured bacterium. Its description in RNAcentral is "partial 16S ribosomal RNA". It matches the Rfam family "Bacterial small subunit ribosomal RNA", at positions 28 to 507 of the family's 1533-position model. The record is from RNAcentral.
GAUGAACGCUGGCGGCGUGCCUAAUACAUGCCAGUCGAGCGAACAGACGAGGAGCUUGCUCCUCUGACGUUAGCGGCGGACGGGUGAGUAACACGUGGAUAACCUACCUAUAAGACUGGAAUAACUUCGGGAAACCGGAGCUAAUACCGGAUAACAUGUUGAACCGCAUGGUUCAACAGUGAAAGACGGUUUUGCUGUCACUUAUAGAUGGAUCCGCGCCGCAUUAGCUAGUUGGUAAGGUAACGGCUUACCAAGGCAACGAUGCGUAGCCGACCUGAGAGGGUGAUCGGCCACACUGGAACUGAGACACGGUCCAGACUCCUACGGGAGGCAGCAGUAGGGAAUCUUCCGCAAUGGGCGAAAGCCUGACGGAGCAACGCCGCGUGAGUGAAGAAGGUCUUCGGAUCGUAAAACUCUGUUAUUAGGGAAGAACAAAUGUGUAAGUAACUAUGCACGUCUUGACGGUACCUAAUCAGAAAGCCACGGCUAACUACGUG